GGAGGGUAAGCGAAUGGCUAGCGGCCUCACUGGAAAUGAGGUGCCCCUUUCUGGGGUUGUGGGUUCGAGUCCCAUGCCCUCCG
This 83-nucleotide transfer RNA is filed under the name Pirellulales bacterium. RNAcentral describes it as "tRNA-Ser". It matches the Rfam family "tRNA". From Rfam's summary of the family: Transfer RNA (tRNA) molecules are approximately 80 nucleotides in length. Their secondary structure includes four short double-helical elements and three loops (D, anti-codon, and T loops). The record is from RNAcentral. Lineage: Bacteria; Pseudomonadati; Planctomycetota; Planctomycetia; Pirellulales.